AGUGAGCGGCACAGCUCARAUUUGAAAUCUGGCUUCGGCCCGAGUUGUAAUUUGCAGAGGAAGCUUUAGGCGCGGCACCUUCUGAGUCCCCUGGAACGGGGCGCCAUAGAGGGUGAGAGCCCCGUAUAGUUGGAUGCCUAGCCUGUGUAAAGCUCCUUCGACGAGUCGAGUAGUUUGGGAAUGCUGCUCAAAAUGGGAGGUAAAUUUCUUCUAAAGCUAAAUACCGGCCAGAGACCGAUAGCGCACAAGUAGAGUGAUCGAAAGAUGAAAAGCACUUUGAAAAGAGGGUUAAAUAGCACGUGAAAUUGUUGAAAGGGAAGCGCUUGUGACCAGACUUGCGCCGGGCGGAUCAUCCGGUGUUCUCACCGGUGCACUCCGCCCGGCUCAGGCCAGCAUCGGUUCUCGCGGGGGGAUAAAGGCCCUGGGAACGUAGCUCCUCCGGGAGUGUUAUAGCCCGGGGCGUAAUGCCCUCGCGGGGACCGAGGUUCGCGCAUCUGCAAGGAUGCUGGCGUAAUGGUCAUCAGCGACCCGUCUUGAAACACGGACCAAGGAGUCAAGGUUUUGCGCGAGUGUUUGGGUGUAAAACCCGCACGCGUAAUGAAAGUGAACGUAGGUGAGAGCUUCGGCGCAUCAUCGACCGAUCCUGAUGUUUUCGGAUGGAUUUGAGUAGGAGCGUUAAGCCUUGGACCCGAAAGAUGGUGAACUAUGCUUGGAUAGGGUGAAGCCAGAGGAAACUCUGGUGGAGGCUCGCAGCGGUUCUGACGUGCAAAUCGAUCGUCAAAUCUGAGCAU
This 791-nucleotide ribosomal RNA is filed under the name Chaetomium angustispirale. Its description in RNAcentral is "eukaryotic LSU rRNA". It matches the Rfam family "Eukaryotic large subunit ribosomal RNA", at positions 92 to 918 of the family's 3401-position model. Lineage: Eukaryota; Fungi; Ascomycota; Sordariomycetes; Sordariales; Chaetomiaceae. The record is from RNAcentral.